UGAAUUGACGGGGGCCCGCACAAGCGGUGGAACAUGUGGUUUAAUUCGAUGCAACGCGAAGAACCUUACCUGGGCUUGACAUCUUUGGAACCUUUAUGAAAGUAGAGGGUGCCUUCGGGAGCCAAAAGACAGGUGGUGCACGGUUGUCGUCAGCUCGUGUCGUGAGAUGUUGGGUUAAGUCCCGCAACGAGCGCAACCCUCGUGGUCUGUUGUUACAGGUCGUAAGAUGCUGAACCCUCAGGCCAGACUGCCGGUGACAAACCGGAGGAAGGUGGGGAUGACGUCAAAUCAUCACGCCCCUUAUGUCCAGGGCUACACACGUGUUACAAUGGGAAGCGGACAAUAGGUCGCUUGGCAGCAAUGUCUGGCAAAUCCUUUAAACCGCCCCUCAGUUCGGAUCGGAGUCUGCAAUUCGACUCCGUGAAGUUGGAAUCGCUAGUAAACGCAGAUCAGCACGCUGCGUUGAGUACGUUCCCGGGCCUUGUACACACCGCCCGUCACACCACGAAAGAGGGUUAUGCCCGAAGUCGGUGUCCUAACCGUAAGGAAGGAGCCGCCUAAGGUGGAGCUCUUGAUUGGGGUGAAGUCGUAACAAGGUAA
RNAcentral lists this ribosomal RNA (600 nucleotides) under uncultured bacterium. Its description in RNAcentral is "bacterial SSU rRNA". It matches the Rfam family "Bacterial small subunit ribosomal RNA", at positions 906 to 1499 of the family's 1533-position model. The record is from RNAcentral.